This is a long non-coding RNA of Sinocyclocheilus anshuiensis, 477 nucleotides long. RefSeq lists it as uncharacterized. The transcript is spliced from 2 exons. The record is from RefSeq and is a predicted model, not a curated record. Lineage: Eukaryota; Metazoa; Chordata; Actinopteri; Cypriniformes; Cyprinidae.
UGGCCAUGAUAUUGUGACGUUGAGUGUGUUCUAGUUGCAGCGUGAAGCUGUUGAAGUGAAUGUUCUCUCUCACAGGUGCUCUUGCGUUUGUGGCCGGUGGACUGGUUCUGCUGUUACCUGAAACCAAAGGUGUGCCUCUUCCAGAAACCAUUGAUGACAUUGACUGUCCAAACAGAAACAAAGAAAACCAGCUGAAGAGGCAACAGCUAGAGAAUUUGCUGCCCUCUGAUGUGACAUCGAACAAAGAAGUUACAGCAGUCUGAUUGAGCGGAGACAGAAAACAGCAACCUCCUUAACUUUAUUAUUAAGUGAUGCUGCUUAUCUCUUCUCUUUUGAGGAUUUAAUCAAAAUAUACAAACUGAAAUCAGUUUCUUAUUAAUCAACAAGUUUUGCCAUCCCAAUAAAAGUUAAUGAACAAUUUGAAUCUUUUCAGACUUAAAAAUAUUAAUUUGAUUUAGUAAUAAAGGCAAAAAAAAA